UACCGAGGUCCCGAGCGUUGUUCGGAUUUAUUGGGCGUAAAGGGUGCGUAGGCGGCGGAGUAAGUUGGGUGUGAAAUCCCGAGGCUCAACCUCGGAAUUGCAUUCAAUACUGCUUCGCUCGAGUACUGGAGAGGAGGCUGGAAUUUACGGUGUAGCAGUGAAAUGCGUAGAUAUCGUAAGGAAGGCCGGUGGCGAAAGCGAGCCUCUGGACAGUUACUGACGCUGAUGCACGAAGGCCAGGGGAGCAAACGGG
This 253-nucleotide ribosomal RNA is filed under the name uncultured bacterium. RNAcentral describes it as "partial 16S ribosomal RNA". It matches the Rfam family "Bacterial small subunit ribosomal RNA", at positions 524 to 776 of the family's 1533-position model. The record is from RNAcentral.